UAGAGAUAAGGCGUUUCUAUGGGGUGGAGCAUGGUGGGGGAUAUGAUGCUUGGAGAAAAACUUCAGCUUUAGCUACCCCUUUUGAUUUUGACAAAGCACAAUCCACAAAGCCAAAAGGUCAUUGUGUGGCUGUGCGAGUGACAAAGCACAAUCCACAAAGCCAAAAGGUCAUUGUGUGGCUGUGCGAGUGACUAGUGAGGACCCCGAUGAUGGCUUUAAGCCUACGAGUGGCAAAGUGCAGGA
RNAcentral lists this small RNA (243 nucleotides) under Vigna angularis var. angularis. RNAcentral's name for it is "Non-protein coding transcript". Lineage: Eukaryota; Viridiplantae; Streptophyta; Magnoliopsida; Fabales; Fabaceae. The record is from RNAcentral.